GGAUGCUACCUGGUUGAUCCUGCCAGUAUUCAUAUGC
This 37-nucleotide ribosomal RNA is filed under the name Lupinus montanus var. montanus. RNAcentral describes it as "partial 18S ribosomal RNA". RNAcentral also lists the same sequence under 2 other names. Lineage: Eukaryota; Viridiplantae; Streptophyta; Magnoliopsida; Fabales; Fabaceae. The record is from RNAcentral.